RNAcentral lists this unclassified non-coding RNA (150 nucleotides) under uncultured Sordariomycetes. Its description in RNAcentral is "sequence contains ITS2". The record is from RNAcentral. Lineage: Eukaryota; Fungi; Ascomycota; Sordariomycetes.
CAACCCUCAAGCCCAGCUUGGUGUUGGGGCACUGCGGCAUGCCGCAGGCCCUGAAAAGCAGUGGCGGGCUCGCUAUAACUCCGAGCGUAGUAACAUACGUCGUUCUGGAAGAGUGGCGGGUUCCGGCCGUAAAAACCCCUACUUUUAUAA